AGCUUCCACCCAUCUAUUUACCAUAGCUUCCACCCAUUCUGCCAAUGCUUCUCUGAAACCCAGUAUUGGUACAGACAUUGCUCAGUCCUAACAGGGAUCGCAAGCUUCCACCAGGAAAGGCAAAAGGGAAGAUACACAUGUAUGGAGCUCCUACUGUAUACCUCACCUUGGGCUAAACAAUUCUCAUAUGUCAUCUCACAUAAGCCUUUCAGCAGUGCAUCCCCCUCUCCCCAUCAAGAGGUGAUGAGCACAUCCAGGAGAAGGACUAGACCAUAACCUGUCCCUUUUCCCAGUGUCAACCCAGGAC
Molecule: long non-coding RNA, 307 nt
Filed under: Heterocephalus glaber (naked mole-rat)
Lineage: Eukaryota; Metazoa; Chordata; Mammalia; Rodentia; Bathyergidae
Description: lncRNA (ENSHGLG00000046628.1)
Source: RNAcentral